GAUGAAGAACGCAGCGAAAUGCGAUAAGUAAUGUGAAUUGCAGAAUUCAGUGAAUCAUCGAAUCUUUGAACGCACCUUGCACUCCUUGGUAUUCCGAGGAGUACGCCUGUUCGAGUGUUAUGAAGCUCUCAAAACGCAAUUGGCUUAAAACCUGAUUGUUGUUUUGGAUUUGAACUUUGCCGUGUUAUAACGGCUGGUUUUAAAAGUAUUAGCUGGUACUAGAACGAAUUGGUUCUACUCAACGUGAUAAUUAUCUGAUCGUUGAGGACAUUCCGUUCACGAGGAAUGGCCAUAGUAAAUUCAAUGGACUGCUUCUAAUCUGGCUUUAAUUCUUUAUUGGAUUAACCACUUUUCAAAUCUGACCUCGAAUCAGGUGGGACUACCCGCUGAACUUAAGCAUAUCAAUAAGCGGAGGA
This 416-nucleotide unclassified non-coding RNA is filed under the name soil metagenome. Its description in RNAcentral is "partial contains 5.8S ribosomal RNA, internal transcribed spacer 2, and large subunit ribosomal RNA". The stretch from base 1 to 120 matches the Rfam family "5.8S ribosomal RNA", at positions 35 to 154 of the family's 154-position model. The record is from RNAcentral.